RNAcentral lists this transfer RNA (55 nucleotides) under Rhadinaea decorata. RNAcentral's name for it is "tRNA-Ser". The record is from RNAcentral. Lineage: Eukaryota; Metazoa; Chordata; Lepidosauria; Squamata; Dipsadidae.
AGGGGGCAAUAAAACCUGCUAACUCUUUAAUCUGGGAAUAACCUCCAGCCCCCUC